This 450-nucleotide ribosomal RNA is filed under the name uncultured bacterium. RNAcentral's name for it is "bacterial SSU rRNA". It matches the Rfam family "Bacterial small subunit ribosomal RNA", at positions 354 to 796 of the family's 1533-position model. The record is from RNAcentral.
GUGGGGAAUUUUGGACAAUGGGCGCAAGCCUGAUCCAGCAAUGCCGCGUGCAGGAUGAAGGCCUUCGGGUUGUAAACUGCUUUUGUACGGAACGAAACAGCGAGCUCUAAUAAAGCUUGCGAAUGACGGUACCGUAAGAAUAAGCACCGGCUAACUACGUGCCAGCAGCCGCGGUAAUACGUAGGGUGCAAGCGUUAAUCGGAAUUACUGGGCGUAAAGCGUGCGCAGGCGGUGAUGUAAGACAGAUGUGAAAUCCCCGGGCUCAACCUGGGACCUGCAUUUGUGACUGCAUCGCUAGAGUACGGUAGAGGGGGAUGGAAUUCCGCGUGUAGCAGUGAAAUGCGUAGAUAUGCGGAGGAACACCGAUGGCGAAGGCAAUCCCCUGGACCUGUACUGACGCUCAUGCACGAAAGCGUGGGGAGCAAACAGGAUUAGAAACCCGUGUAGUCC